RNAcentral lists this ribosomal RNA (343 nucleotides) under uncultured Pseudomonadota bacterium. RNAcentral describes it as "bacterial SSU rRNA". It matches the Rfam family "Bacterial small subunit ribosomal RNA", at positions 29 to 351 of the family's 1533-position model. The record is from RNAcentral. Lineage: Bacteria; Pseudomonadati; Pseudomonadota.
AAUGAACGCUGGCGGCGUGCUUAACACAUGCAAGUCGCACGAGAACGCUUCAGCUUGCUGGAGCUAGUAAAGUGGCGCACGGGUGAGUAACGCGUGGGUAAUCUACCUCCGAAUUGGGGAUAACACUGCGAAAGCGGUGCUAAUACCGAAUGACAUCUCAGGGACCUCGGUCUCUAAGAUCAAAGGUGGCCUCUACAUGUAAGCUACUGUUUGGAGAUGAGCCCGCGUACCAUUAGCUAGUUGGUAGGGUAAUGGCCUACCAAGGCGAGGAUGGUUAGCUGGUCUGAGAGGAUGACCAGCCACACUGGCACUGAAACACGGGCCAGACUCCUACGGGUGGCUG